This 1344-nucleotide long non-coding RNA is filed under the name Homo sapiens (human). Its description in RNAcentral is "HSALNT0060708". The record is from RNAcentral. Lineage: Eukaryota; Metazoa; Chordata; Mammalia; Primates; Hominidae.
GGGGACAUGAGGAAUUCAACAGGGAAGCUUUUAGAAAAGAUUUUUUUCUCUCAGGUUUAAAAAUAAAAAAAUACAUGUAAGAAGUUGUUUUAGUCCUUCCUACUUUCAAUACUAUCAUGUGAGGAUGUGAUUCACAGAACUACUACAGCUUUCUUGUGAACAUGAGGGAAACUAAGAAGUUCAGCCAGAGUCCUGACAUUGGUGAGCUACGGAGACAGCUUUAGGUUUUCCAGGGUUGGAAUUAUGCCCCUGGCCAGUGGUGACUGAUAGUUCUCCCUGAGACCAACCUCUGCCCAGACUGUGAAAGGACAACUUGCAUAUCUUCUGUUGCUGAGUUCCUUCUGGAGAGAAACUACGGUUACCUUCUGUUGAGCUGCCUCGCCAUAGAUCUCCUGCCUCGAUUGCCAGGUUUGUCUGUUCGCAUACCUCUGGAAACUGUAUUUCUCCUGUUUGCCUGAAGAGCCCGGCCCCCGAUCUGUAUCUUGUCCAGGACUGUAAGUGCUCACUGCUCCUGGAAGGUGUGAUUUGUUCCCAGCACCCAAACCCUGGUCUGGUUUGGUCUAUCACAGACUUCCUGAGCUCUGGAAGGAAGGCUUUCCUCCUGAUAUACUCAGAAGCCAUUUCUGUCUUAUUAUCAUCAUCUGACAGAGUUUGGUCUGAAGCUAAUGAACAAUGACAACAAUUGCUUCUUCUGCAGGCUAGGAAGCCUCACCUGCAAUUGUGAAAUGUCAAGCAGAAGUUGAGGUAAAAGAGGAACAAGAAAAUUUUCUUCUGCCCAUUGUACACUUCUAAGAUUAAAGAAAGAGUCUAAAGCUUUUUGAAACCUCUGUACAAGGACAUUUCAACCUCAUUGUUUACAAAAUCAAAGAAAGUAAACUAAUUUUCAUUCCUCAGAUUCUUGAGAAUUAGAAAUGGUGAAGUUUUUUGGUAAAUAUGGCCAGCCAAAAAGGAAGUCUACUCAAAUGCCCACUACGAGUAGAAUGGUAAUUCAGCUGUGGUGUAUUUGUCCAAUAGAACACUGCCUCAGUGAGAGUGAAUAGUCUCCAAACACAUGGAUAAGUUUCAAAAUAUAAUACGGAGUUAAAGAAAUCAGAUGCAUACACAGUGUAUGAUUCAAUUUAUUUAAAGUUCAAAACAGGUAAAUUUAAUGCGUGGUAUUAAAAAUCAGGAUGGUGGCUACCCUUGUGGCAAUGGGGGCUGCCAGAAGGGAACAGAAGAUGGGCUUUUGAGAUUCUGGUCAUGUUCUACUUUUUGAUCUGGGAGCUGGUUACACAUGGUUAGUUUGCAAAAAUUCAAUAAGCUGUCCACGUAUAAUAUGAGCACUUCUCUCUCUCUCUCUCUCUC